This 69-nucleotide transfer RNA is filed under the name Scinax onca. RNAcentral's name for it is "tRNA-Val". It matches the Rfam family "tRNA". From Rfam's summary of the family: Transfer RNA (tRNA) molecules are approximately 80 nucleotides in length. Their secondary structure includes four short double-helical elements and three loops (D, anti-codon, and T loops). Lineage: Eukaryota; Metazoa; Chordata; Amphibia; Anura; Hylidae. The record is from RNAcentral.
CAAAACGUAGCUUAAACAAAGCAUCUCGCUUACACCGAAACUAUAUCUGUUAAACCCAGAUCGUCUUGA